Molecule: ribosomal RNA, 1124 nt
Filed under: Burkholderia sp. SD2414
Lineage: Bacteria; Pseudomonadati; Pseudomonadota; Betaproteobacteria; Burkholderiales; Burkholderiaceae
Description: bacterial SSU rRNA
Rfam family: Bacterial small subunit ribosomal RNA
Source: RNAcentral
UGGCGAACGGGUGAGUAAUACAUCGGAACGUGUCCUGUAGUGGGGGAUAGCCCGGCGAAAGCCGGAUUAAUACCGCAUACGACCUGAGGGAGAAAGCGGGGGGAUCUUCGGACCUCGCGCUAUAGGGGCGGCCGAUGGCAGAUUAGCUAGUUGGUGGGGUAAAGGCCUACCAAGGCGACGAUCUGUAGCUGGUCUGAGAGGACGACCAGCCACACUGGGACUGAGACACGGCCCANACUCCUACGGGAGGCAGCAGUGGGGAAUUUUGGACAAUGGGGGCAACCCUGAUCCAGCAAUGCCGCGUGUGUGAAGAAGGCCUUCGGGUUGUAAAGCACUUUUGUCCGGAAAGAAAACCUCGUGGCUAAUAUCCGUGAGGGAUGACGGUACCGGAAGAAUAAGCACCGGCUAACUACGUGCCAGCAGCCGCGGUAAUACGUAGGGUGCGAGCGUUAAUCGGAAUUACUGGGCGUAAAGCGUGCGCAGGCGGUCUGUUAAGACCGAUGUGAAAUCCCCGGGCUUAACCUGGGAACUGCAUUGGUGACUGGCAGGCUUUGAGUGUGGCAGAGGGGGGUAGAAUUCCACGUGUAGCAGUGAAAUGCGUAGAGAUGUGGAGGAAUACCGAUGGCGAAGGCAGCCCUCUGGGCCAACACUGACGCUCAUGCACGAAAGCGUGGGGAGCAAACAGGAUUAGAUACCCUGGUAGUCCACGCCCUAAACGAUGUCAACUAGUUGUUGGGGAUUCAUUUCCUUAGUAACGUAGCUAACGCGUGAAGUUGACCGCCUGGGGAGUACGGUCGCAAGAUUAAAACUCAAAGGAGUUGACGGGGACCCGCACAAGCGGUGGAUGAUGUGGAUUAAUUCGAUGCAACGCGAAAAACCUUACCUACCCUUGACAUGGCCGGAACCCUGCUGAAAGGUGGGGGUGCUCGAAAGAGAACCGGCGCACAGGUGCUGCAUGGCUGUCGUCAGCUCGUGUCGUGAGAUGUUGGGUUAAGUCCCGCAACGAGCGCAACCCUUGUCCUUAGUUGCUACGCAAGAGCACUCUAGGGAGACUGCCGGUGACAAACCGGAGGAAGGUGGGGAUGACGUCAAGUCCUCAUGGCCCUUAUGGGUAGGGCUUCACA